AUUGAACGCUGGUGGCAUGCCUUACACAUGCAAGUCGAACGGUAACAGGUCUUCGGAUGCUGACGAGUGGUGAACGGGUGAGUAAUACAUCGGAACGUGCCCGAUCGUGGGGGAUAACGGAGCGAAAGCAUUGCUAAUACCGCAUACGAUCUACGGAUGAAAGCAGGGGACCGCAAGGCCUUGCGCGGACGGAGCGGCCG
This 200-nucleotide ribosomal RNA is filed under the name uncultured bacterium. Its description in RNAcentral is "partial 16S ribosomal RNA". It matches the Rfam family "Bacterial small subunit ribosomal RNA", at positions 30 to 232 of the family's 1533-position model. The record is from RNAcentral.